This 499-nucleotide ribosomal RNA is filed under the name uncultured bacterium. RNAcentral's name for it is "bacterial SSU rRNA". It matches the Rfam family "Bacterial small subunit ribosomal RNA", at positions 30 to 525 of the family's 1533-position model. The record is from RNAcentral.
UUGAACGCUGGCGGUAUGCUUUACACAUGCAAGUCGAACGGGCUAUGGGGCUUGCUCCAUAGUUAGUGGCGAACGGGUGAGUAAUAUAUCGGAACAUAUCCGGAAGUGGGGGAUAACGUAGCGAAAGUUACGCUAAUACCGCAUAUGCCCUGAGGGGGAAAGGGGGGGAUCGCAAGACCUCUCGCUUUCGGAGUGGCCGAUAUCGGAUUAGCUAGUAGGUGAGGUAAAGGCUCACCUAGGCGACGAUCCGUAGCUGGUCUGAGAGGACGACCAGCCACACUGGAACUGAGACACGGUCCAGACUCCUACGGGAGGCAGCAGUGGGGAAUUUUGGACAAUGGGCGCAAGCCUGAUCCAGCAAUGCCGCGUGCAGGAUGAAGGCCUUCGGGUUGUAAACUGCUUUUGUACGGAACGAAAAGACUCCUUCUAAUAAAGGGGGUUCAUGACGGUACCGUAAGAAUAAGCACCGGCUAACUACGUGCCAGCAGCCGCGGUAAUA